Molecule: long non-coding RNA, 493 nt
Filed under: Pan troglodytes (chimpanzee)
Lineage: Eukaryota; Metazoa; Chordata; Mammalia; Primates; Hominidae
Description: long non-coding RNA NONPTRT006250
Source: RNAcentral
CUUUCUUACAGGAAUCAGUGAUGCUCCUGUUACAGGCACGGUUUCUGGUCAGAAUUGCUGUGAGGAAAAGAGGAAUCCCUCCUCCAGCACGCUGCCAGGCGGUGGUGUUCAGAACCCUUCUGCAGACAGGAAUUUGCUGGACCUCCUCUCACCACAGCCAGCUCCGUGCCCUCUGAAUUAUGUUUCGCAGAAAAGUGUCCCCAAGGAAGUGCCACCAGGUACUAAGUCCUCUCCAGGUUGGUCCUGGGAGGCUGGCCCGUUGGCUCCUUCCCCAUCUUCACAGAAUACACCUCUGGCUCAAGUGUUUGUCCCUUUGGAGUCUGUUAAGCCCAGCAGCCUGCCGCCUCUCAUUGUGUAUGACCGGAAUGGAUUCAGAAUUCUGCUCCACUUCUCCCAGACGGGAGCCCCUGGGCACCCAGAGGUACAGGUGCUGCUCUUGACCAUGAUGAGCACGGCUCCCCAGCCUGUCUGGGAUAUCAUGUUUCAAGUGGCU